AGCAGUGUGGCCUAGUGGGUACAGCACAGGCCUGGGGGCCAGAGGACCUGGGUUCUAAUCCCAACCCUGCUA
This 72-nucleotide transfer RNA is filed under the name Ornithorhynchus anatinus (platypus). It matches the Rfam family "tRNA". From Rfam's summary of the family: Transfer RNA (tRNA) molecules are approximately 80 nucleotides in length. Their secondary structure includes four short double-helical elements and three loops (D, anti-codon, and T loops). The record is from Rfam by way of RNAcentral. Lineage: Eukaryota; Metazoa; Chordata; Mammalia; Monotremata; Ornithorhynchidae.